Molecule: small RNA, 131 nt
Filed under: Citrobacter pasteurii
Lineage: Bacteria; Pseudomonadati; Pseudomonadota; Gammaproteobacteria; Enterobacterales; Enterobacteriaceae
Also listed under: 2 other names
Description: RtT sRNA
Rfam family: RtT RNA
About the family: This family represents a bacterial cis-regulatory element known as RtT RNA. The exact function of RtT is unknown although it is thought that it may be involved in changing the cellular response in relation to amino acid starvation.
Source: RNAcentral
UAUUCUGCCCAUGCGGGAAGGAUGAGAAGCUUCGACUAAGGUUCGAUUCGAGCGUUGCGAGAAAGCGUUGCCGCAGGCAACGACCCGAAGGGCGAAGCGCGCAGCGCUGAGUCAUCCUUCCCCCACCACCA